Molecule: ribosomal RNA, 292 nt
Filed under: uncultured bacterium
Lineage: Bacteria
Description: partial 16S ribosomal RNA
Rfam family: Bacterial small subunit ribosomal RNA
Source: RNAcentral
GUGUCAGCAGCCGCGGUAACACGUAGGAUCCGAGCGUUAUCCGAAUUUACUGGGUGUAAAGCGUGUGCAGGCGGUUUGGUAAGUUGGAUGUGAAAGCUCCUGGCUCAACUGGGAGAGGCCGUUCAAAACUACCAGACUAGAGGACAGUAGAGGAAGGUGGAAUUCCCGGUGUAGUAGUGAAAUGCGUAGAUAUCGGGAGGAACACCAGUGGCGAAGGCGACCUUCUGGACUGUUUCUGACGCUCAGACACGAAAGCUAGGGUAGCGAAUGGGAUUAGAAACCCUCGUAGUCC